This 209-nucleotide long non-coding RNA is filed under the name Chrysolophus pictus (golden pheasant). RNAcentral describes it as "lncRNA (ENSCPIG00010004109.1)". Lineage: Eukaryota; Metazoa; Chordata; Aves; Galliformes; Phasianidae. The record is from RNAcentral.
AGUCCACUGUACAAAGGUAGGAAAUUCAGAGAAUCAGCUGCAAACAUAAAUCUACAUUUUUCUUUGAGAAAUUUGGAAGCACAUUGUUUCCUGAAAUCUUAACAAACUGAAGCAUGAUAAGAGAAUAUAUUGAGUUGUGCAAGAUAAACAUUGGACCAAGAAGCUCUGAAAUUCUGGAUAUACAGCUGGGCAGGACUAGAACAAACAGC